UACGGCUAUAUAACAUUGAAAUACCGGUUCCUGUAUGAUCACCGAAGUUAAGCAACGGCAAGCCUAGUCAGUACCUAGAUGGGUGAUCGCUUGGAAAUACCAAUUUCUG
Non-coding RNA from Acanthosepion pharaonis, 109 nucleotides. The record is from the annotation of a GenBank genome assembly. NCBI's taxonomy places the organism in Eukaryota, Metazoa, Mollusca, Cephalopoda, Sepiida, Sepiidae.